Molecule: ribosomal RNA, 252 nt
Filed under: uncultured bacterium
Lineage: Bacteria
Description: partial 16S ribosomal RNA
Rfam family: Bacterial small subunit ribosomal RNA
Source: RNAcentral
UACAGAGGGUGCGAGCGUUAAUCGGAAUUACUGGGCGUAAAGCGCGCGUAGGCGGCUUUGUAAGUUAGAGGUGAAGCCCGGGGCUCAACCCCGGAAUUGCCUUUAAGACUGCAUCGCUUGAAUCCGGGAGAGGUGAGUGGAAUUCCGAGUGUAGAGGUGAAAUUCGUAGAUAUUCGGAAGAACACCAGUGGCGAAGGCGGCUCACUGGACCGGCAUUGACGCUGAGGUGCGAAAGCGUGGGGAGCAAACAGG